Camelina sativa (false flax) is the source of this 710-nucleotide non-coding RNA. Lineage: Eukaryota; Viridiplantae; Streptophyta; Magnoliopsida; Brassicales; Brassicaceae. The record is from RefSeq and is a predicted model, not a curated record.
UUCCCCAUUUUUCUUUCCCUUUUUCGCGACUAUCUCUCUCUUCUCCCUCAAUGGAACCGACGAUUCAUCACACCCCAAAUCCAUAGCAUCGAUUCAAAUCCACCUCAAAUCCAUAAAAAUCCGAUUUAUGUUCGGAUCGAUCUGAUUAUUCAGAUCUCACGGCCAUCGAUCUCCGAGAACAAUAACGACUGCGGAUGGUGACUGACCUUUAGGGGACUACCAGGUUUGACGCUUGGUGUAUUGCAUAACACAGGACUUAUUUCCAAAGUCUUUGAUCUUUGGUUCCAGAUGUUGCAGCAAAAGAGAAAAAGUGUGGAGAUGAAGCACAAAGCGUGAAGGUGCAGAAGUUAGCUGCACAGGCAAAGGUUUUGUAUUGCAAGACUCAUUUUGAACAGCUCUUCAAAGAAUCUGGAAAUUUCAGCAAGAAUUUUUAAACAGCGGGAAAGACCGAGAAAUUAUAAAUUGAAUGAAACGUCGAGGGCUCCAGUAGAGAAGAUGACAAUGGAAGAAGAAUCUUACCACAAGACUUGCUUCAGAUGUACACAUAGUGGUUGUCCAUUAACACACUCUUCAUAUGCUGCUCUCGAUGGCAUCUUUUACUGUAAAGUCCACAGUUUUUUUAACUAAUGCAAUGAAGUAGAUCCAUAUUCUCUUUUGUUUCUUUUUUUUUUUUUAUGGAACUGAAAUUUUAAAGAUUAAGCAAUUUUGAG